GUGCUCGCUUCAGCAGCACAUAUACUAAAAUUGGAACGAUACAAAGAAGAUUAGCACGGCCCCAGCACACGGAUGACAUGCAAAUUCCUGAAACAGUUCUAUAUUUUU
Small nuclear RNA from Cebus imitator (Panamanian white-faced capuchin), 108 nucleotides. NCBI's taxonomy places the organism in Eukaryota, Metazoa, Chordata, Mammalia, Primates, Cebidae. The record is from RefSeq and is a predicted model, not a curated record.